Molecule: transfer RNA, 75 nt
Filed under: Caudoviricetes sp.
Lineage: Duplodnaviria; Heunggongvirae; Uroviricota; Caudoviricetes
Description: tRNA-Met
Rfam family: tRNA
About the family: Transfer RNA (tRNA) molecules are approximately 80 nucleotides in length. Their secondary structure includes four short double-helical elements and three loops (D, anti-codon, and T loops).
Source: RNAcentral
GGGCCUUUAGCUCAGAUGGUUAGUAGCAGCUGACUCAUAAUCAGCAGGUCAUCGGUUCAAGUCCGGUAGGGCCCA